CAAGAAAAAAUAAAAAGAUGCCGGAUAGCAGAAUGAUGUUUGCUCAAAAUGAAGGAGAAGACAAAAAGGGCAAAAUAAUAGAAUUUUGUUUUACUUUAAAACUUGAAAAAUGUGUUGUUUCAAGCCUCCUCUGGCAGAUGGACCCAAACAGGGGUUCGAUUUCCCAGCAAGGAGACAAAUGCUGUUCUCAGCGAGACCUUUCUCCCUUUUCCCAGGCUUCCUGCUGCUGAUUCAGGGGGUGAGAAACUAGAAAUGUAAAUUAACUAAAAGUUAGAAAGCCCAGUUGUGAGGAGCAAGUUCUCAACGGACUUAAAAGUGACAGCAAAGAGGAGAAAAAUCCAGAUGGGAAAUAGACAAGCCGCGAGAUAACAUGUGAGUUGCCUGGGAUCGGGAGAAAAACUCCCCACGAGGUACUAAGGGCUCUGCUGGGCAUCUUCUGUAACAUUAGGUUUAAAAUUCCCAGGCUGCUUAUGGAGGAGAAGUGUAAUGACCUCCUUUAACACGCGAGGAAACCGAGACUCGGAGCGGCAGAGAACCUGCCCAGUGCCCAUCGACGUGAAGAACCGUGCAAAUUCAAGACACACACGAAUCUAGGCACCAAAGUAGGAGGAGUAAACACUAAAGACCAAAGAACUCAGUGCCGAUAUGCCCCCUGCACUUUGACCAUCCUGGUGGGUCAUCCGCAGAGCUUGUGAUUGCUGCUCUUCACCUCUAAACUGCUACCUUCUCCCAUCUUCGUCAAGUCAGUAAAUGGCACCACGGACCACCCAGCUGUAAGCCGAAAACUGGAAGAGUUCUGUUUCAUUCAUUCGUUUUUGUUUUUUUUCGAUGCACCACCGCCUCCCACAUCCAGCCCAUAAGCAAGUCCCAUGAUUCUUACCUCCAAAAUGCAUCCUGAACCCCACCACCUUCCUUCCACCCACUGCUAACAUGCUAGUCCAGGCCACCGUGAUUGCCCACCUGAUUUCUGCCAUUGUUCCUUCGCUGGCCUCCCUGCUUCCAGACUUGCUGCCUUUCCAUCUCUCCUUCACACCACUGUCAGAGUGCUCAGACCCUGCACUCCCUGCUCCAAAUCCUCAAACGCUUUCCCAUGGCCUCAAACUCCUAGCUUGACCUUCCAUCUGCUUUCCUUCUCCUCUUUGCCCACUGACCCAGUGGUCUACAAAAAUAUACAGUAAAAAUUUUUUGAAUGCAUAUUCUCAUUGUAAAUUAUACACAUAUAUACAUGUGUAUAAUUACACAUGUGUAAAUUACACACAUAUACCACUGUAUUAUAUAUAAUUAUAUAUAAUUUCUGUCAUAUAUAACAAAAGACAUACAAAAUCAUAGACAUUACAAAAUAUACAAUAGAAAGAAAUGAAAAAGAAAUGCUAAUAGUUUCUUCCAACACCUGUGGUUCGGUACUUCAGUCCUCGGUGCCCCCUAGGGUGGCGCACCCCACUUUGGAGACCCCACUGGCUCUAGCCACAUUGGCCUACUUUCUGUACCACUAUGAGCCCCUUUCCACUUCAGAGCUUUUAUAAUCUCUGUUCUCUGUAUUUGGAACAUUCGUCCCCCAGAUCCUCACAUGACUGGUUUCUUUUGUCGAAAGGUCUCAGUUCAAAGAUCACUUCCUUAGAGACCAUGGCCACUCUGUAUCAAAAUAACACCACCAAAUCAUCGACCAUUGCAUUAACCUGAUGUGUUUUCUUCACAGUAUUGUCUUUGAAGUGAUAAUGUAUUUAUUUGUAAUCUUGUAUACUGCCUGCCUUCCCAACUAAACCAUAACUAUCUGCAGGGCAGGAUCUUUGCCAUUUUGCACACUGUUGUGUCCACAGUGUGUAGAGUAGGGCCUGGCACCUAGAAGUUGCUCAAUGCAUAUUUAUAUUUUAAUGAAUCUUGGGUACAUCACAAUCUCUCUGGCCUUACUGCUCUCAUUUAUUAAACAAAAGUAUUGGAUUCCACGACUAAAAUCUUUCCAAUUUGAAAUAGAGCCCUAUUUCCAAAUCUAAAAUUCCAGAGGGUGUGGCUUCUUCCAUUUUGUGUAAACAUUAACUAUGCUAUCUUACCAAAGUCAAUACGAAUUCACGACAAGAACCUUUAAAUGAAAUGCACUAUAUAAUAAGCAUUAGAGGCAAUCAAGAGUUAAAGGCUCACAAGUAAACUGGAUUUCAAUAUACGGUACAAAAGAUGGUUGAGGCAAUGGUCACAAAGAGAAAAGGCAUUUCCAGGUUAGAAUCAGGAACGGCUUUAACACUAACAGUCACGGAUAGGAUUUGCUGUCAAGAAGAACAUUUCCCAAAAGUCAUUAAUUCUGCACAAUGGUUUAUUGGCCUGUUUUCCUAUUUUUUUCUCUUCAUAGAGGCAGCAUAGAGUUAAGGAAAGAGGAAUGGGCUGAAAAAGUAGGUUCAACAUUCAGUCUCAAAGUUACUAGUUGUGUGGCUUGGGGCAGUUACUAAGCUUUUCUGGUUCUCUGGUUCUUCACAUAUAAAAUAAGGUGAAUGACCUUAUUGGUUGAUGUGAUAAGUCAAUGAGAUGAUGUAUGGGGAGCACCCGUUCCUGGCAGAGAAUAAGUCCCCAACCAUUUACCGGUUGAUUCAAAAGAAUGAAUGAAUGCAUCUUCUCACCUACCUUCAAAAAGGAUUUAUACAGCUUACAAUAAAAAAAUACAUCUCUAGCGGGAGAGUUAGAAUAAAGAUAAAAAGAAACAUUCGCCACUCCUAAGUAUAUAACCAAGAGAAUAAAAAACAUGUGUUCACACAAAAACUUGAAUUCACAGCAGCAUUAUUCAUAAUAACCACAAAGUAGAAACAACCCAAAUGGCCAUCAACUGAGGAAUGUAUAAACAAAAUGUAGUAUAGGUAUACUACAGAAGGUAUAUUAUUCAUCCGUAAAAAGGGAGGAAACACUGACAUAUGUAACAAUAUGGGUCAACCUCAGAGAACAUGUGCUAAGUGAAAGAAGUCAGUCACAAAAGACCACAUGUUGUAUGAUUCCAUUUAUAUAAAAUGUCCAGAAGAGGCAAAUUCCUAGAAAUAGAAAGCAGCUUUGUGGUUGCCAGGGUCUCAGGGGAGGGCGAAAUGUGCGGAGACGGCUUCAUGUGUAUGGGGUUUCUUUCUGGAGUGAUGCAAUGUUCUGAAAUUAGAUGGUGGUGAUGGUUGCACAAUUCUGUGAAUACACUAAAAGCCACUGAACUGUAUACUUUAAAAUGAUUAAAAUGAAUUUUAUGCUAUGUGAAAUUUAUUUCAAUAAAAAGUUUUUUUUCAAAGGAAGGUUAUAAACCACAUAGAGGACAGGGUAGGGGUGGGCACAAUUAUGCCAGGAAUCAAAAUUGGAUGUUAGCUGCAAUCGAUUAAUCUGAUGGUUAUGCGUGUUUGUUCCAAAUACAUUAGCUAAACUAGAAAAGAAUGCUUUAAUCAGCUAACACAAAUAUUUUGCAGAUAGGGUUCUCAUAUACCACUG
This is a long non-coding RNA of Zalophus californianus (California sea lion), 3441 nucleotides long. RefSeq lists it as uncharacterized. The record is from RefSeq and is a predicted model, not a curated record. Lineage: Eukaryota; Metazoa; Chordata; Mammalia; Carnivora; Otariidae. The transcript is spliced from 3 exons.